This is a long non-coding RNA of Leucoraja erinaceus (little skate), 9745 nucleotides long. RefSeq lists it as uncharacterized. The transcript has 3 exons. The record is from RefSeq and is a predicted model, not a curated record. Lineage: Eukaryota; Metazoa; Chordata; Chondrichthyes; Rajiformes; Rajidae.
CUUGUUCUGCCGGGAACCCCAUUCUUUGUCAGAGACUUAUCAGUCCGGUGUGUUAUCUCUGCCUGGCCACUGCCUCAUAAAUUGAAAGCAACAUUAGAGCAGCUUUGGGUGGUCCAGAAUAUAUGAAUAUCUGCAGCAGAUUCCAGCUCGCCCCUAUGGCAGAUAAUCUCCUCUUUCUAACCAUCGAACCGUAAUCUUACAGUUGCAUAACAUGUUUGUGCGGCCACUUUUGGAGUUUUAUGCUCGGAUUUGGUCGACCUACAAUAGGAAGAAUGUUAUAGGUUCAUAAGUUCUAGAAGCAGAAUGAGGCCAUUUGGCCCAUCAUGUCUACUCCACUAUUCAAUCAUGUCUGAUCUAUCUUUUCCCUCUCAAUCCCACAGAUUCACCACCCUCUGACUAAAAAAAUUCCUCCCCAUCUCCUUUCUAAAAGUACGUUCUUUAAUUCUGAGGCUAUGGCCUCUGGCCUUGGACGCUAGUGGAAACAUCCUCUCCACAUUCAGUCUAUCCAAACCUUUCACUAUUCGAUGUCGUUAAGCUGGAAAGAGUGCAGAGAAGAUUUACCAUGAUGUUGCCAGGGCUUGAGGGCUUGAGCUAUAGGGAGAGUUUGAGCAGGCUAUGACUUUAUUCUGUGGAGGCUUGACGGAUGAUCUUAUAGAGGUAUAAAAAUCAUGAGGGGAAUAGAUAGGGUAUUUUACCCAUGGUGGGGGAAUUAACAAAUCAGAGGACAUGAGGAACUAGAGGGGCAACAUUUUCACACAGAGGGCGGUGAGUAUAUGGAACAAGCUGCCAGAGGAUGUAGAAACAAAGAACUGCAGAUGCUGGCUUAUACCAAAGGUCAACACAAAGUGCUGGGGAGUCUCAGCGGGUCAGGCAGCAUCUCCGGAGAAAAAGGAUGGGUGACGUUUUGGGUCAGGACCCUUCUUCAGGGUGGAAACAGCUGUGGAGAGAUCAGCCCUUACACCAAUGCUGGACAAUUAACACCAAUUAAUCUACAAACCCGCACGUCUUUGAAGUGUGGGAGGAAACCGGAGCACGUGCAAACUCCGUACAGACAGAGCCCAUGGUCAAGAUCGAACCUGGGUCUCUGGCACCAUAAGGCAGCAACUCUAUCGCUGUGCAACCGUGCCAGCCUAAACCCAUCAUGUUCCCAUGAAUAACUCAGCGGGACAGGCAGCAUCUCUGUCCCACUGAGUUACUCCAGCUUUUUGUGCCUAGCUUCGAUUUAAACCAGCAUUUGCAGUUCCUUCCUACACUUGUUCCAAUGAAUGUUGGAAUGGAUUUGAAGCAUUGAACAGUUUCCUCCCUGUACUAACGUCUUAAUCACUAUAAAGAUUAAAUAAUUGCAGGCUCACUGCCCUGUCAUAAAUUGAGGGCAUAGCCCCAAUCUUGCAACCUACCUCUUGUGGCCCUUGCACUUUUUUUUAACCUGUACUUUCUCUUUAGCUGUAACACAAUAUUCAGCACUCCCUUCAACCUCCAGCAUUCUAGAGAAAACAAUCCACAUCCUUACUGUAUUGAUUUCAUCCUGACUUCCUGACUCUAAUACGUAAUGCCCUGACAUAUGAAAGCAAGUAUACUAUACCCCUGUGUAUAAGCCUGCUACGAUGUGUCUGAUUAAGGGUCUUGACCCAAACAAACUGUAUGGAUGUUUGUACGUUCUCCUUGUGACCGCAUGGGGUUUCUCCGGGUGCUCCAGUUUCCUCACACACUCCAAAGACGUGCGGGUUUGUGACUCAAUUGACUUCUGUAAAUUGCAAAUAGUCCCUAGUGUGUGUGAUAAUGCCAGUGUACGGGGUGAUCACAAGUUGGUGCGGAAUCAGUGGACCGAAGGGCCUGUUUCCCUGCUGUAUCUCUGAAUUCUAAAGAUUCAAGUAAAUCGCCUCUCAAUUCUCUCCAGAGAUACUUCCUGACCCGCUGAGUUACCCCAGCACUUUUAUUUUCAUACUAUAUGCCUUCGAUGGGGGUGAAUAGCCUAAUUCUGCACCUAUGACAUAUAAAGUUAACCACUAUUUCCAUCUGCCCUCUAGUGUCUGUCGUUUCCACUUUGGUGAAAAGGGCAGUGACUGUCUAUCCAUGUUCUCCAGAGAUGCUGCCUGGCCUGCUGAGUUAUUCCGGCACUUUGCGGACUUUUCUGACUGUCUCGAUUUGGGACUAUGUCAGUAUUUCAGUCAUCUUCCUCGUCAGGGAAUGUAAUUCAGCUGCACACACGUGAGAGCCUCUUCCCCCAGACUUGAGGGUGAUUAUCGUGGAAUGUGCGCUGAGCAUUCUCCCCUCUCGCAAACAACCCCCUCCCCCCUCCCCUUCUCGCACACCAUGGCCUUGGCGACAAUGAAUGUGCAUCAUUGAACCUGCAGGUUCCCACCAGGCUGGGCGCGGUUUGCAGGGAGAAUCAGCCCCACACUUCCACAAAAGGGAGUCACAUUCCACUCUGCAUUCAGUACGAAAUGUUCCAAAUGGACAAGGACGGCAGCUCAGGCAGAGCAAGACCGAAUGAAGGAAACCCAGAUAUUUUUCCCACCACGUGUAUUUCACUGAAUCCUGGAAUCCUCAGCCCUCGCUAUUUGCUAAUUGCUUUGUGAAUGAAUCAUUGUCAGCGACUUCCAGCUGUGAGGCAUCCUCUCCAGAUCAAUCCCAAAGGACAAGAGGAGGAUUACUCUGAACAUCUUGUCUUGUCAACGUUGGGGAAAUUUUUGGGAGACAGAACACUGGCCGCCAGUGUUGUGGGAAAGGUACGAGGUGUCAGCACCACCUCUAAUGAUGAACUCCCAAAUGACCUUGGUACAGCUGUAACCCUCAGAAGCACAAUUGAUCCUUCUGUAAAACCGCUAAGUUUUCACACGUUUGCAGAGUGAGCACCGCUGACAAGAGUUAACCCUUUGCGCUCAUAUGCAAAACUAAUACAUAGAGUCAUAGAGACAAACAGAGUGGAAACAUAACCUUCAGCUCAACUUGCCCUUACCAACCAACAUGUUCCAUCUACACUAGUCUCACUUGCCUGCUUCUAUAACUGUAAUACAUCUGGAAUGCUGCAAAGACUCCAGUGGUUAAUUCUAGUAUCUUUAGACUUUAGAGAUACAGCACGGAAAUAGGCCCAUCGGCCCACCGAGUCCACGCCGACAACUGAGCCACUCUGCCGCUCUUAGAGUUGUGGAAGAAUGAGAAGAGGUUCACGUGGUUAAGAUAGCAAAUUAUAUAUGCUUUCUAUUCAACAGGUAUAAUAGUUGUGCUUUAGAGGCUGUUAGAUGGCUGGUAUGGUGGCACAGCGGUGGAGUUGCAACCUUACGGCGCAUGACAUACGGAAGUGGCGGCGCUGUUAGCAGCUGCGGCUCGCCUGCAGUCCGUCUGUCUUUACUUUUUUCUGGGGUUUUUUUUGUCUUGUUUUGGUUAAGUUUUAGUUUGUUGGGUUGUGUUAGAGGGGGUGAAACAUGUUCUCUGUCUCUUCCUUCGGGGGAAUGCGACUUUUUCGUGUCGUAUCCCCCUUCUCUGCCUCCGUCUGCGCUGAGGCCUAAUGGCGGAGCUGGCGGCCUCCAACCUGCGACCGACCCCGAGGCUCCGGAGGCAGAGCCAGCCAGGACUUACCAACGAGAGGCUGGCCGUCUUCGGGGCUAAGGCAGCGGUGGCCCGACUUGCUGGUGCGGCGUUCUGGCUUUCGGCGGUGGCCUGGAGCUGAUGCAGGAGCUCGGAGCUGAGACUGCGGGACCCGGAGCUGGGGCAGCAGCCUGGAGCGGAGACUGCGGGACCUGGAGCGGCGACUGCAGGACCCGGAGCUGGGGCGGCAGCCUGGAGCGGAGACGGCGUUCCGGCUUUCGGCGGCAGCGACAUCACCACAGAGAUCCGCUGGACUGGAGAGCGGCAUCUUCGGCCUGGAUCGAUCGCCUCAGCGCAGAGGGAGAACAAGGAGGGAAGAGACGGAGACUAAGACUUUGCCUCCAUCACAGUGAGGAUGUGCUUGGUGAACUCACUGUGGUGGAUGUUUAAUUUGUGUUUAUUGUAUGUUUUGUUAUUAUUGAUUCUGUGUAUGACUGCAGGCAACAUAAUUUCGUUCAGACCGAAAGGUCUGAAUGACAAUAAAGGAUCUAUCUAUCUAUCUAUCUAUCUAUCUAUCUAUCUAUCUAUCUAUCUAUCUAUCUGGGUUCGAUCCUGACCAUGGGUGCUGUCUAUAUGGAGUUUGUACAUUCUCCCAGUGCUCAUGUUUCUGCCCACAUCCCAAUAACGUGCAGGUUUAUUGAGUAAUUGGCUUCUAUGCUCCUCUGCACCCUCUCCAAAGCCUCCACAUUCAUCCCAGAACGCGGCGACCAGAACUGCACACAAUGCUCCAAAUGUGGUACGACCAAAGGUUUAUACAGAGGUAACAUAACUUCCCUACUUUCGGACUCAAUUUACAACAAUGUAUUAACCUAACAACGUGCCUUACAGCUGUGGAAAUUAUUUUAAAAUGUUAUUGACGUUGCAACAUUGGAAACGCAGAAACGUUACGAAACAUGAACAAGAUAGAGACCAUCGGUGUUAGUACAAGAUUGGCCGAGAGAGUUGACCAGGGUACCUAGCAUCCCGCGCGCACUCCUCUCAGAGAUACCGACAUUGGAGUCUUUUAUGUCCAAAGUAAUGGGGCCAAUGGAAUCUUGGUUUAACAUCUUAACUGAAUGCCAACAUUACCAACCUUGCUAAAGGGUCGCGACCCAAAGUGUCACCUAUCCAUGUUCUCCAGAGAUGCUGCCUGGCCCGCUGAGUUACUCCAGCAUUUUGUCUCCUUUUGUGUAACAAUGAGCAUCGGCAGUUGUUCCUUGCUUCAUUUUGGCUGAACCACUGCCGGUUUGAAGGAAGGCCAUGACCCGAAACGUCACCUAUUCCUUUUCUCCAGAGAUGCUGCCUGACCCGCUGAGUUACUCCAGCUUUUUGUGUUUGUGUCGGUAUAAACCAGCAUCUGCAAUUCCUUCCUGCACGGGUUGUCCAGCACUUUGUGUCCUCCUUUGUAUCAUCCAGCAUCUGCAGUUUCUAGUUUCUACAUUUUGACUGUUCAACUGUGAAGGUCUGAUGCAGGGUCUCGACCUGAAACAUCACCUGUCCAGGUUCCCCGGGGAUGCUGCCUGACCUGCUGAGUUACUCCAGCACUUUGUGUCCUUCUCGGGAGCAGCCGAGAUUAUGUGCUCCAGUCCCUGGGGUGGGCCAACUGCAAGGCUGACACAUUGUACACAUUAUGUCAGACUUCUAUUGAAUAAUUAUCUUAUUAUAAUAAGAUAAUAAUUAUCUAAUUGUCUACGUUUUAUCAUUACAUCAAACUGUCAAAUUAUUGUUAAAAGUAAAAGGGCUGCUCAAGUAAUCUCAAAUAAUUGAGGUCCAUGUGAACUGGUUGUUCUAUUUUCUAAAGCCUGGCUUUAGAAAUUAGUACAUUGAGACAAAAGUCAUAAUCCUUGCCACAACAUGUUGGGACAGGCAAAGUUUUCCAGUAAGCUUUUACUUCUGCAACACCCACUGAUCUUUUACCAGUCGCCCGGUGACCGCUCAGAUGUGUUUAGGUUGUCUUGUGGACGUCUUUAGUCUGAGGCUGGCAAAUGCCCUGGGACCUAGAAGCACUGUGAGUGCCGGAGCUGAAUGAUCGAUGCUUUCCGCAGGUGACGUUCAGAGAUCCAGUAAUCAUCGGCUUAAGAGGGCGUUUAGCAGUUUAGCUCCAGUCUGAUCUCUCGCCCCCCCCGCACCCCCGGCGGCAGCACAAAGGAGCUGAAGGUCUGGAGGCGAGAAUGCCUGCCGUUGUCGACGGUGACACACAGUGACGGAAAGAAAAGGAGAACGAACGGAAGAGAGGUGAAAGAAAGAGAGAGGGAGAAAGAGGAUACAUGAGUAACUAAUAAAACAAAAAGAAAAACCGAACACAAAGUGAGUUUGAGUCUGAGGUUAGUCUAUUGUCACGUGUACCCAGGUACAGUGAACGGAUUUUGUUGGCCCGCUAUCCAGUCAGCGGAAAGACCAUACAUGAUUACAAUCAAGCCGUCCAUAGUGUACUGAUACAGGAUAAAGGGAAUAACAUGAAUAACGUUUAGUGCAAGAUAAAGUCUGAUUAAAGAUAGAACUAGUCCGAGGGUCUCCAAUGGGGUAGAUACUGUAGUAGUUCAGGGCUGCUCUGUAGGUUUUGGUAGGAUGAUGCAGUUGCCUGAUAACAGCUGGGAAGAAACUGUUCUUGAAUCUGGAGGUGUACGUUUACACAUUUCUAUACCUGUUGCGAUGCUGGGGUGACUCAGCCGAUCAGGCAGCAUCUCUGGGGAAAAUGGAUAAGCAACAUUUUGGGUCAGGACAUCCUUCAGACUGGCAAACCUAUUCUGGCAAACAUUUAUUCCUGAAGAGCACCAUGUUUUCUUGUGAUUGAAAGAUGCAGCACGGAAACGGCCCACUGAGUCCGCGCUGGCCAUCGACCACCCGUUCACACUAGUUGUUCGUUAUUUCACAUCCUCAUCCACUCUCAGCACACUAGGGGCAAUUCACAGAGGCACGGUGGCGCAGCGGUAGAGUUGCUGCCUUACAGUGAAUGCAGCGCCGGAGACCCGGGUUCGAUCCUGACUACGUGUGCUAACUGUACGGAGUUUGUACGUUCUCCCCGUGACCUGCGUCGGUUUUCUCUGAGAUCUUCGGGUUCCUCCCACACUCCAAAGAAGUACAGGUUUGUAGGUUAAUUGGCUUGGUAAAUGUAAAAAUUGUCCCUAGUGGGUGUAGGAUGGUGUUAAUGUGCGGGGAUCGCUGGUCGGCGCGGACCCGGUGGGCCGAAAGGGCCUGUUUCCGAGCUGUAUCUCUAAACUAAACUAAGCUAAACUAAAGGCCAAUUAUCCCACAAACCCGCAACGUCUUUUGGGAUGUGGGAGGAAACCGGAGCACCCGGAGAUAACCUGACGCUGUGGCAGGGAGAACAUGCAAACUCCACACGGGAGUAUCAGCCUCGGCUAUUACAGUAUGUUCAAGUCUCAACACAGGUGUGAAGAAGCCACAUCCUUCUGAUGUAGAGAGUACAGUGUGGAGGGCCACAUGCCUGUGGCGUGAAAUUGAACAAAAUACUCCCCAUUGAUCCAGAUGCCGGUGAUCAGCAAAUCCAUCUACCUUCAGCCACAAUCUCACCCAGUGUUUUGUGCUGUUGGAUGUUACAACAACUCAUUCACAAGAUCACGGAGAACAAUUUGCCUGGUUGAUGAAAGAUUGGCAGCAAUUUCCUCUCAGUGUUUAUUCCUUCGUUUGAUCUGAUCUGCAGACUGUUAAUGAAAUCACUUCUGAAUAAGUGCCUCACAGUUGCAGAAAAGGUGGGGGGCACAACGUCAGCUUCAGUCAGUCAGCACCCCCCCACGAUCGACUGUGCAAACGACACUACAAACUUCAAGGCUUCGUUUUGUCCCAUGUCUGAAAUCGCCCACAAGAGCUGCAGGUCUGUUAAUGCUAAUAAAAUAAUCCACUCUGAGUCUGCCCUUGAAAGGAAGGGAAGCAAAGAAGGUUUACAUUUCCUCACGGAGACACAAGGAACUGCAGAUGCUGAAAUAUUGAGCAAAACACAGAGGAACAGUGGGUGGAGGGAUAGAGUUGCUCCAAACUCCAAGAUAGUGUUAACUUCCAAAUAAGCUCUGAAUUACAUAGACUUGGGGGCCUUGGGAUUUGUUUUUCUUUGCAUGUGUAAUAUACACGUGUGUAGUAUAUAUACACACAGACACAGUCAAACAUACGUACACAUACAUACACAGAUGCAUCUUUUUUUAGUUUAUUAUAUUGUUUACAGAGUACUAUGUUUACAUAUUCUGUCGUGCUGCUGCAAGUUGCCGUUUGGUACAUGUGGCAAUGAAACACUUAACUCUCUCCCUACAGCUCCAGUGACCCCGGUUUGAUCCUGACUAUGGGUGCUGUGUGUACAGAGUUUGUACAUUCUCGUUGUGUCCGCGUGGGUUUUCUCCGGAUGUUCCGGUUUCCGCCCAAACUCCAAAGACAUGCGGGUUUGUAAGUCAAUUGGCUUCUGCAAAUUGUGAGUUGUCUAGUGAUAGUGCUGGUGUAUGGGUGAUCGCUGAUCAACGUGGACUCGGUGGGCUGAAGGGCCUGAGUCCAUGUUAUAUGUUUAAAGCCUAGAGUCUAACUGGAGGAACUCAAAACCCAAAACUGGAGGAACUCAGCAGGUCAGGUAGCAUCCGUGGAGGGAACAGACAGGCGAUGUUCCAGUUAAGGUCUAUUAUUGUCAUGCGUAUCAAGGUACAGUGAAAAGCCUUGCUUUGCAUGCUAUCCAAGCAGAAAAAAUAUAGGAAGAUAGGAAUGUUCGGUGAACUUUUGUAAUUUUUUCGGCACCAGAAACAUGACCUUCUUCUUCUUCUUUCGUGUGGCGUGCACAGCCUGAAGUUGUUGGACAACUUGUUCUAUUUGAUCUUCCGUUUGUGCACGUCGAGUUGAUUGCAUUAGUCGAAACAGGGCGGACCACAUGAAGGUUGCAAUCUUCCACCCUAGAAACGUGAUGACUCUUGUGUAUUGCCUGGGUGUAAUUCCUGGGGUCACAACACGCCAGUUAAAGUUACCGGAAUUUUAAACAAGGCAUUAGCACAAGGACUGUAGCCCAGCUGGAGCCCAUUUGUUUUUGGAAGGAACCUGUAUGUGUGUGUGAAAAUUCUUUGAACCUGCAGUGUCGAAAAGUGUUUUUCUCUUCCCCAGAGAAAAUGAAGCUCAUGUUAAUCACCUCCCAUCUCCACAAUGCUACGAAUCCUCAAGCUAAACCUCUUUCAUACUGGAAUACCUGCAAACAAUAAGCUCAGGGUUAAACUCAGAAGGAAAUCAUCUGCCUCCAAUGUGAAGCUGUUCCAAUGGGAUUUGGAAGAGAGGCAGUUUCUUUUCAUAAAAAUAAAUAUAAUUCGAACCCAACAGGUGUGCAAUUGGGGACUGCUUUUGUCAAAUGUUUAGAAAUUCCGAGAGACAUAUUUUCUCGCUGCCUACACCCUCUCCGCCAUCGGUUCAAUGCUCUUCUUUCAAAACUCUGGUUAUAUAUUUUUUCUAAGCCAACAUUCCUUGAAGAUGAUACUGCAGCUUUGGAAAUCAAUGCGCACUGCCAGUCUAGUGCUAACAGAGUGGCCCAAAUUGUGUGUGUGUGUCUGCGUGUGCACGUGCACGUGCACGUGUGUGUGUUCAGCAAGUGUGCAUGUGCGUGCGUGCAUGUGUGCAUGUAUGUGUGUGUAUAUGUGUGAAGGUAUGUGCGUGCAAAUAUUUGUGUGGUUGGGUGCGUGGGUGUGCGUGUGAGCACGCCCGUGCAUGUUUGUGUGAGUGUGCAAGUGCGCAUGCGUGCGUGUGUGUCUUUUUAUUAUAAAUUCACCCCGUGCACAGUUGUUCCCAAUCUGCCUGACGCGCUCUAAUUACUAAUAGGCGAGAGUUCUGGUGUGAACACUUGUGGCACUGGUGUGGAAUUCCUGAUACUAAAGCUCAAGAGGAUGAAUUUCCUGCUAAAAUAGCACUGGAAGGGUCAAAGCAUGAGCUCGCUUAGGAUUCUCAUGUAGGGAGUGGACAUCGUUGUGGGGCCAACAGUUACUGCCCAGUCCUCGAGCAGAUGAGCGUUCAACUUCAACAGCUGCAGUCCACGUGGCAAAGCUAUUUCUACAAUAGUUCCAGGAUUUAACCCCAGCAGCAAUGAAGAUAUAUGUCCAGGCCAGACUAGUUCUUGACAAGGAGAGAACUUGCACCGGUGGAGUUACCAUGAGGCUGGGGCCUUAAUCUUUCUUAUCUUAUCUUGCAUUAAACAUUUUACCCUUUA